This 1200-nucleotide ribosomal RNA is filed under the name Triticum aestivum (bread wheat). Its description in RNAcentral is "partial small subunit ribosomal RNA". The record is from RNAcentral. Lineage: Eukaryota; Viridiplantae; Streptophyta; Magnoliopsida; Poales; Poaceae.
AUGGCGUUCGCCGCGGCUGCGCGGAGAAGCCUCGCCUCGCCUAGAAUCUCCGAUUGCCUCUCCCGCCGCUUCCAUCCGGCGCUCCCUCAACUGCUCCCAUCCAACUCCAUCGGCGAUCCCCGGAAGCCCUCGCCCCUUCCUCUCCCACCCGCACCGCGUCCGUUGCGUUUCUCGUUCUCCCCUUGCGGGACAGCUCAAACCCUAGACCUCCUCCCAUUCGGCAUCCACCUCCUCGCCGGGCCACCCCGCCGCGGGUUCUCCUCCUCCUCCCGCGACAUUGACUUCGCCGACGUCCUCACCGGCGCCGCCAAUGCCUGGCCGCCCGUGGCUGCCCCGGCGAGCUUCCCCGGCGAGGUGGCGUUGGCCGCGGGGGACUCGUCGAUUGCCGUCGCGGCGGUGCAGCAUCUCAUCGACGCGGUCCAUUCCUUCACUGGUGGAUUUCCAUUGCUCUACCCACAGUGCUCUUACGGUCUGUGUCGUGCCCAUUGUGGAUGCUUGCCAGGAAACGAGUAUAUGAGGUGUCAGGAGAUGCAACAAACCAGCAAGUUGGUAAAUAAUGCUAAGGACGAUGCAUCAAGAGAAGAAGCUGAGCGUGCAGCAUGGUCUUCACUCAAAAAGUUAGGUCUUGCGUCAUAUCUUCCACUAAUUGUGACACCGUAUACCUUGAUAACUCUUCACAUCGCUGUAUCAAACAUGGUUGACAAUGUCCCAUCUUUAAAAGGGGGUGGAGCAUUCUGGUUUACUGAUCUGACAACCCCUGAUGCUCUUUGCAUCUUUCCCAUGAUAACAUCACUGUUCAUCAUGCUUACCUCAGAGCUCAAGUACAGUGCUUCAAAGAAAUGCGAAAAAUGCUCUCGCACGAUGCACAAAGAAGCAAGGGAAGCUCUGAGAGUAAUAUCUCUUCUAUCUAUGUUGUUGACAGCAACCCUUCCUCAGGCGAUUUCUUGUUCCUUGGUCACCUGGAGUUCUCUAAGUCUUGCAGAAAGGAUAGCUCUCGAACAGCCAGCUGUGCAGAAAGUACUAUAUGGCACGCCCUUGAAACAAAGAAGAUGUUCUUGUGAUGGACAGAAGGGCCCAACUGCUGAAGAUACCCCUUCUGUCAAGGAGCAGGAAGAGCCAGUUUCCCCAGAGACAAAGAAAUCUUGUGAUGGUAGCACUCACAGAGACGAGACCGAUAAGAAAUCGACCAAAGGCGGUUAA